AUCUAGUUGACGAGUUCCAAAUAGAACGAAACGUACGACCUUGAU
RNAcentral lists this non-coding RNA (45 nucleotides) under Schistosoma mattheei. The record is from RNAcentral. Lineage: Eukaryota; Metazoa; Platyhelminthes; Trematoda; Strigeidida; Schistosomatidae.